GACAGAGGGUGCAAACGUUGUUCGGAAUUACUGGGCGUAAAGCGCGUGUAGGCGGCCCUGCAAGUCGGAUGUGAAAUCCCACGGCUCAACCGUGGAAGUGCAUUCGAAACUGCAGGGCCAGAGUCCUGGAGAGGAAGGUGGAAUGCUUGGUGUAGAGGUGAAAUUCGUAGAUAUCAAGCGGAACACCGGUGGCGAAGGCGGCCUUCUGGACAGUGACUGACGCUGAGACGCGAAAGCGUGGGGAGCAAACAGG
This 253-nucleotide ribosomal RNA is filed under the name uncultured bacterium. RNAcentral describes it as "partial 16S ribosomal RNA". It matches the Rfam family "Bacterial small subunit ribosomal RNA", at positions 524 to 776 of the family's 1533-position model. The record is from RNAcentral.